Molecule: non-coding RNA, 46 nt
Filed under: unclassified sequences
Description: SAM-SAH-Weickhmann-2018 RNA
Rfam family: SAM/SAH riboswitch aptamer
Source: RNAcentral
CUGUUACAACGGCUUCCUGGCGUGACGGCAAAACUUUAAUGGAGCG